GGAUUUAACAACAGUUGGGCAAAGGAGGUCGGUAUACAGAUACAGGACAAGAAGAGUGGUGUCAAAGGGAGGCUAAAUCAUUGGUUCUGGCUUCAUCUAAGGAAUUCUUAUGAGAAAUCGAGGGAGAGACUGUCCUGGGAAGUCUGAUGAAACAUAAAUGGGGUUUUGCCAUGUCGCUUAGGCUGGUUUCAAACUCCUGGACUCAAGCGAUCUGCCCGCCGCAGCCUUCUAAAGUGCUGGGAUUACAGGUAGGAGCCACCACACCCAGUCAAAUCAGUGGCUGAUAAGUCAUUCAACUUACAACUUUCAAUUUAACCUUUUGUUGGCAGCUCUCAGAGGACUUUGUAAUUGAAAAGACAGAAUCAUAGAAACAGUAAUCAGGUUCUCAGCAGACUUUUCAAAAUACGUUUCCAAACAUCCCUGUGGAAUUAAGACCAACAUUAGACAAUCUACUGAUUUUCCAGCCUGCUGGUGUCUCUCUGUGCUCAGAUUUUGAAUAAAUGAAUGACUUCAGCUUUGUUUUUCAAUUAAUUGUUAUUUAAUUUAAGACAUCUUAAGAGAUGUACAUAAAAGUACUUUGUAUAAGACAAAGGUGAAGAUUGCCUUAGGCAUAUUUGAGAAGGUUUGUUCAAUAAAAACUUAAGAAAAUAAGUGAAUUAGAUGUUUCUGGACAUUUCUUUCAACCGCUGAUUUUGUUGUGGUUGUUGUUAACUUACCAAAAAGUUAUAGAACCUUUCUCUAGAACUCGUGGAUAAUACUAAGCAAUUGCUCUAAGAGUUAGCUAUGUAAGUAUGAAAUUCUUAGCCCCUACAUUUCCUUUUCAGCUGACUGGGACAGAUGAAAAGCAGCACCAGCCACAGGUUUCUUUCUCAUUCUGUGUAAUUACCAUCUCUAAUCCUGAAUCACUCAAACUUUCCUACCACUAUACUCUGCACCUAUUCUCUGUUUCAUAUCCUAUCUAUGAUGAUGAUUGUUAAAAAGUUUCUCAAUAUAUCCUAGAUGCAGCAUCAACCACCACUGGCCCUUUUCCCCCUUUUGAUGUUGGCAAUGGGGGCAUAGAAACUACAGUACACUUUUUAGGAGUUGGACAGGGACAGAAUGGAAUAGGUUGGACAAAGUAUAUUGGGAUUGGGAUAAGAUGGAGGGGUUGGUGUAGGUUGAAGUUCUUCCAGAUGUAAUACAGGGUGUGGCUGCAGGGUGAGUGGGUUUGAAGAGAAUUUAUGGGUACCAAAGAGGCUGGAUGGGCAAAUAGUUAAAGAAGCAAGAGAAAAUACUUUAACUUUCUCCAAGUAUUGCUCCCAUGAGUGGCUCAACUGUACUAAUUAAAAUGAAAUCAAGUAGCAACUUGGAUGUCUGGAAAGACCUCUGAGUGCCAAAGGUGUGUGCUCACUCUUUCCUUUUCACAGAGUUGGCCUGCAGAUGAUGAAAACAGGUAUGAGGUCAGGCAUCUCCUCUUUCAUCCAGACCAUGGCAUUGAUUGCUCAGGGAAUCUCAUUUCUCCAACAUUUGCUGAAGCUAUUAAUACUUCCCCUAGUUUCCUUCCUGUCAGAGUGUUUGAAGAACACUUUGAGAAAUCAGAAAAAUAUUUGAGAGCAAAUAGUGUGAAAUGGUUCUCUUUGUUGUUAAUAACAAAUCAUAGGAGUCCCAUAUUCCCACAGAUCUACAAAUCAUGUGUCAAUAUCUAGUUUGUAAGUGUCUCCAUUUGUCCUCUAUCAUUCCAGAAGUCUUUUUCAUAUGAUGUCAGGGGAACUGAAAUGGAAUGUAAUAAAAUUUAAACCUGGGAUUUGCUGAAAAGAAACAGAGGUGGUAUUAGUCUUGUUUUUCUCAAACUUUUACCUCAUUUCUUUAAUAUAGCUCUUGCUGAGCAACUUGAAAAUUCUCCUAGAGAAUUGAGGCUUGGAUUUUUUGCAGCUGCCCUUGAGGUCAAUCUUUAAAUUGCAGUGUCUAUGGUGAAAGAGAAAAUUGAGUCACAGGAAGGAAUAAGUUAUGAAGAGAUUUUUGUCAAAAUAUUUCCCUUCCAAUAGGCAGAUAGAUAGUGCUACUCUUGACAGCAAAUUUCUUUUUGUUUUUUAUUAUUUUUAUUUUUAUUCUGAUGGAGUCUCACUCUGUCACCCAGGCUAGAGUGCAGUUGCAUGAUCUUGGCUCACUGGAACUUCUGCCUCCCAGGUUCAAGCUAUUCUUGUGCCUCAGCCUCCUGAGUAGGUGGAAUUAUAGGCAUGUGCUACCAUGCUUGGUUAAUUUUUUGUAUUUUUAGUAGAGACGGGGGUUUUACCAUGUUGGCCAGGCUGGUCUCGAACUCCUGACCUCAAGUGAUCUGUCUGCCUCAGCCUCCCAAAGUACUGGGAUUACAGGCGUGAGCCACUGCGCCCAGCCUUGACAGCAAAUUUCCUAAUGACUAGAAUUCUGUGUUUAAACCUCAUUAUUGUAAAUAAUGCUGCAAUGAACAUAGGAGUGCAGAUACACCUUUGACAUGCUGAUAUCAAGUCCUUCCAAUAUAUUCCAGAAAUGGGAUUACUGGAUCAUAUGGUAGUUUUGUUUUUAGUUUUUUGAGGAAACUCCAUACUAUUUUCCAUAAUGACUGUACUGAUUUAGAUUCCUACCAACAGUGUACUAGGGUUCCUUUUUCUCUGUAUCCUCACCAACACUUGCUAUCUUUAAUCUUUACACAAUGAAAUACUGUUCAGGCUUAAAAAAGAGCAAAAUCCUGUCAUUUGAGACAACAGGGUACAUCUAGAAGACAUUAUGCUAAGUGAAAUAAGCCAGGAACAGAAAGACAAAUAGUACAUGAUCUCACUUACAUGUGGAAUCUGAAAAAACUUGAAUUGAUACAGGUAGAGACUAGAAUGAUGGUUACCAGAGGCUAGGGGGAAAAGGGCGGAGGGAGCGGGAAUGGGGAGUUACUAGUCAAAGGGUACAAAGUUUCAGCUAGGCAGGAGAAAUAAGUUUUGCUAUCUCUUGCACAGCAGGGUAACUAUAGUCAAUGAUAAAGCAUUGUAUAUUUCAAAAUAAGUAAGAGAGUAAAUUUCAAAUGUAUCAACACAAAAAAUGUCAAAUAAGUGAAGUGAUGAAUAUGUUUAUUAGCUUGAUUUAACCACUUCCCAUGUAUACAUACAUCAAAACAUCACAUUGUACUGUGUAAAUUGAAUAUGAUUUUUCCAAUUAAAAUAAUAUAAAAUUUAAAAAAUCCCAUUACAGGCUGGGCGGGGUGGCUCAUGCCUGUAAUCCAGCAUUUUGGUAGGCUGAGGCAGGCAGAUCAUUUGAACCCGGGGCAACAUGGUGAAACCCUGUCUCUACAAAAAUAAGCCAGGAGUGGUGCUGUGCACCUGUAUUCCCAGACACUUGGGAGGCUGAGGUGAGGGGAUCGCUUGAGCCAGGAAAGUUGAGGCUGCAGUGAGCAGAGAUGGCACCACUGCACUCCAGCCUGGGCCACAGAGUGAGACUCUGUCUCAAAAAAUAAAUAAAUAAAAUAGAGAAUAAAAAUCCCAUUAUGAUGAAUUAUUAAUACAUCAUUACAUGGUUUCCAUACCAUGGAGCUAUUUCUAUAGUGCUUCAUGACUGAAAUCCCCUCAGAAUUCAUUACAAAAAACCAUGUUAUUGUUUUUUAAGACUAACAGGCAUAGGACUGAUAUAUAUAUAUAUAUAUAGACUUUUAAUUGUAUGUUGUUAAAUAAUGAUGGCUAUUACCUUCUUAAGCCCUCUCCAUCUAAAAUACUUCAACAAAUGAAACAGAAUACUUCAAAAUAUUUCUAAAUUUCCAGGAGAAAUUUCAAAAUUAUACUAAAUGAUUGAGGGUGACAGAUUUGAAGUUGCUUAUACAAAUAACUUUUUCUCUAUUCUGUUUAAAGAUUUUUACUUACUAAAUUCAUAUGAAGAACAACAAUUAGUUGCUUAAUUUUCCUUAUGCAACUUAUAGCUAUGCAUUUAUGGGAAACAAGUAUUUUGACAAAAUAUGAUUAUGCUGACCAAUGGAAUAAAUUAUACAGGGGUUUCACCUUCUUAGUGUUCAGCUUACCAGAUGUUGCUACAAGAUAAGCACUUUAAAACUCACUGGCUUAAGCGCAAUUCAAAAUUGCAAAAUUGUGGAACCAAACCAAAAGCCCAUCAAUCAACUAGUGAAUAAAGAAACUGGUACAUAUAUAUGAUGGAAUACUACACAGCCAUAAAAAGGAAUGAAUUAACAGCACUUGCAGUAAGCUGGAUGAAAUUGGAGGCUAUUAUUCUAAAUGAUGUGACUCAGGAAUGGAAAAUCAAACAUCAUAUGUUCUCACUGAUACGUGGGAGCCGAGCUGUGAGGACGCAGAGGCAUAAGAGUGAUACAAUGGACUUUGGGGACUUGGAGAAGAAGAGUAGGAGGGGGGCGAGGGAAAAAAGACUACAAAUAUGGUGCAGUGUAUACUGCUUGGGUGGUGGCUGCACCAAAAUUUCACAAAUCACCACUAAAGAACUUAUUCAUGUAACCAGAUACCACCUGUACUCCAAUAACUUACAGGGAAAAAACCCCAACUCACUGGCUUAGAUUUAUCACAUCCUAAAAAAAUCUAAAUUUCAUAAUAGCUAGAUUAUUAUUCAUGUCACAUCACUGAUAUCUGACUCCCCUAGUAUAGCUCUAAAUACACAAUAACUCAAUUAGCCAUUCUGCGAAUUUCUUUAAAUGCCACAUCUUUUAUUGUUAAUUAUUUAAAGCAUAAUAUUAUUACGAUAAUUUCCAAUCCAAUAUUUUUAAAAAGUAUGUACAUAUUUAAAAAUCAGCAGUACAGAAGAGUACCAGUUGAAAAGUUUCUACUUGUAUUAGUCUGCUUGGGCUGCCAUAACAAAAUACCACAGACUGGGUGACUUAAACAACAGAAAUAUAUUUUCUUACAGUUCUGGAAGUUAGAAGUUCAAGAUCAAUGUCCUAUGAGGGUUGAUUUCUGGGGAGCCUUCUCUUCUUGACUUGUAGACAUCUGCCUUCUUGCUGUGUGCAUGGGAGUGGGGAGGAGGGACAGCUCUUCUUUCUUUUUUUAAAAAAUUUUUAUUUUCAAUUAUUAUGGGUACAUAACAUAUAUAUAUAUUUAUGGGGUACAUGCGAUGUUUUGAUACAGGCAUGCAAUGUGUAAUAAUCACAUCAGGGUAAUUGGGGUAUUCAUCCUCUUAAGGACGAUAGCCCUACUGGUUUAAAGCCCCACCCUUGUGAUACCAUUUAACCUUAAUUGCUUCCUUAAAGGCCCUACCUCCAAAUAUAGUCACAUUGGGAGUUAGGGCUUCAGCAUAUAAAUUUAGGGGAGACAUAACUCAGUCCUGAUAUCACUCAAUCCCUAAGUCCAAAUUCCAGAGAAAACCACUUCAAGCUAUUUUCUGAUUUUAGUCACUGUAAUUGUAUAAUAUACUUAUGUACUUGUUUUCUGAACGAUAAAUAUUUAGACAUCAUAUCUUUUGGCUGCAUAUAAUGAAGAUUAGGAAAUUACAAGUGACCUUUGAACAAUACGGGUUUGAACUGCGUGGGUCUACUUACAGGCAGAUUUUUUUCUACCUCUGCUACCCCUGAGACAGCAAGACCAACCCCUCCUCUUCCUCCUCCUCCUCAGCCUGCUCAGUGUGAAGACGAUGAAGACCUUUAUGGUGAUCCACUUCCACUUAAUUAAUAGUAAAUAUAUUUUCUGUCCUUAUGAUUUUCUUAAUAACAUUUUCUUUUCUCUAACUCGCUUUAUUGUAAGAACAUAGUAUGUUAUACAUAUACAAAAUAUGUGUUAAUCAACUGUUUACGUUAUUGGUAAGGCUUCUAGCGAUCAGUAGGCUAUUAGUGGCUAAGUUUCUGGGGGAUGAAAGGUUAUAUUCAGAUCUUCAACUCCAGUAUUUUUUUUUUUUAUUCUGGAGGCAUUGAUGAUGUCGCUCUGUUGUCUUCUAGUUUAUACUGUUAUUAAUAUCUUUUCCAAUGUCUACUUUUCUUUCUUGAUUCUCCCUCAAGCAUUUAAGGUUUGCCUUUUACUUUUGGUGUUCUGACAUUUUAUAAGUGCUGUUCUGCCCAUGUGCCUUUUCAUUCAUCACCUUUUGCACUAAGUGGACACUAUCAAUCUUUACCAGCUUUGGAAAAUUUUCUCCUUCUGUUUCCUUGAUGAUUAUGCCUUCUACGUUUUCCUUAGGACUCCUCUUGGACAGAUGUUUGGCCUGGAGACGGAUCCUCUGCAUCUUUUAACUUUUGUCUUAUAUUUCACACCUUUGUUUACUUGUUCAACAUCCCAAGAAAUUUCCUCACUUUAACUUCCACUCCUUCUGGUAAAGCUCUUGCUUUGGCAAUCUCAUUUAAAAUUUUCCAAAACUCUUUCUAAUUUUUGAUUACUACUAUUGUUUUAAUAGUAAUUUUGAUUGUUUUUGGGUCUGACAUUCUCUCCAAUUUCUCUGAAGUUAUUAAGUGAAAUUAAACAACAAUAUUCUGUUUAUGAAUGAUCUAUUUUCUCUGGAGAAAUGUUCUUUUGUACAUUCUGGCCUUGUGUGUGUGUGUGUGUCUCUGUGUCUGUGUGCUAUUGAUGUGCAGUUUAUUUCUCUCAAAUGUCUGGCAAUUAUUGUGUCUUCUUUAUAUUUUUGAGUGAAGAAUGAGAAUAGCUAAUGUCAGCAGAUUGUAUAGAUCAUUUUCCCCAAGAUGUUUCUCCCUGACUUCAGGUGGGGGUGGUGGGGGGUGCUGAUGGUAACGCCUCAAUGAUCAGGCUUCACUUAUGUGUGAGGGCAGGAAGUGGGCCAGUGGGAGGAGUUCCCUGUUUACAGGAAUCAUUCACUUUCUUUGAGAUAUUAAUUGCAGCAAACACUGCAUAUGUCAGUUAUUCUAUGAAUGGAGUGAUGGCAGAUUGGAGGGUCCAAGUGACACAGACUUUCAAUUAAUUGCCCUAAUUAACCCUCAGUCCUGUAACCUUCAGGCUUGGCAGGCUCACUGGGACUCUGCAGGGAAGUAUAUUCUUCUGUAGCUGCAGCCUUAUCCUGUCAGUGUUCUAGGCUGUAACCUCCUGUACAGUUAGUUACCAUCAACUCAAGGCCAUACACCUUCCAUCUUUCAGAAAGCUAUCAACACGUUUGCUUUGCUGGUGGUUCUAUUUCUCCUGUUCACCAUGCAGUUUUGGCUUGGUCUCAUUUUAAAUUUCUUCCCUGUCAUGUCAGUGGGAUUUGAAAGAAAGUCAGUCUACCACUUGGAGCUGGAACUUUUAUAGCUUUUAAAACAGAAUGCAGUGAUGCCAACAAGUUUCUCUGGCACCCUUUAGGUACUCAGAAUGAAUGAGAAUCACUCAAUUAUGUUAUGAAACAGUUUUCUCCUAAAGUAGGAGCAUUUGUUCUCAAACUUCUAUUGUUUUAAAAAAGUAUUGUGGUUAUAGUUUUCUUCUUUUUGCCCUGACUUUUACUUUAUUGCCACUCUCAUGGUGCUGCCCUGUAAGACCCUCUCCUCAUUGGCUGCUUCUUUGAUGCAGUAGAUUAUCCUUAAAGCAAGAGUCAAUAAACUUUGGGGGUGUUUUAAGAGACAGCCUUUUGAGAAACAUGCAUGAGCUUUAGAGAAUGAAUUGUGUGACCUCCACUGCGACUAGUCUGUGGCCAUUUAUCCUCAAUGAUUUGGGUUUAUCUUCAGAUAAUUGAAAGGUGCUAGAUAACAUGAGCUCUGAAUAAUAAUAAGGCCUCUGAGGCCUUAGAGGUUUAUUGUCUUCAUUAGCACACUAUUUAAAUUUCUAGUGUCAAUACCAAUCAUUUGCUUGAUAUAUUUGGUUUUAUUGUUUUUUCUCUUAGUGAUCCCUGUCAAUUAAUCAUAAUUCAGUUCACCAGGAGUAAGUUUUUCCACAUAAAGACCACUUUUGAUCAAGACACAAUGUUAUAUUUAAGUUAUUAAUUGACAGUCAACAACUUAUUUAUUAAUAUGGAUUCAUUAGCAAAUGUGCCAAUUAGUUUUCUUGUCUUCAGUUUUAACACAUACAAUAGUAACCCCGAAAGAAACUCACAGAUUAACAAAAAAGAACAACACUCUAGGACUUGGCACGAUUAUUCCAUAGGAAGAAAAUUUAUUUCAUGUUGUGAGUGCAAAUUUUAGUAACAAUUCUGUUGAAGUCACUUUUCUAGGACUCUGUUUCCAAAGCAAUUAGUUCAGCUAUUCAAGAUGAAACACAUUAUUUAUCAAGAUGUGAUAUUUUGAAAUGUCACAGGAGAGAAACACAUGACAAAAGGCAACACAUUUGUUUAAUUUCAUUAGUUACAAGCGAACUUCUAGGUAAGUCAUGAUUUUCGAUGUUUAUAAUAUUUCUAUUAAGAUGUGCAGGUCUCAAUGAUAGUGAUGAGUGGGUAUGGCUGUGGAGAGAUUCCAGGUGAGUCCAGCAGGGACCAUCUGUGGGGACCCAUUAACGACACUUCACAAUCUUAAAACAACAAAGAGCUUUUAUUUCAUGGUGUGGUUUAUGAGCAUUCAGAAGUAAUGUCAUCUCUGCUUGGAGACUUUUCUAGCAGGACAUUAGGGGGCUAUCAUCACAGGUAACCUGGAGAGUACAUCUGUAGAUAAAGAUCCUGACUAUUUUAAGUAAAGAAGAAUUAUUGGGGAAAAGAAGCUUUAUGUCCAGUGAUCAACAGGGCUGGAAAGAGCUGGCAGUUUCAGAAAAGAAGAAACCUCUCUUGACAGCUUUAGUAUCAUACCGUGGACUGGAAAUGGCAAAAAUCAUCCCUAAAGACAAGCGAAGUGUUUUGAAGUGACUCUUCAUAGUGAAGUAGCAACUCUAAAUAGCCAAAAUUUGCAACCAUCGUUUACUCUUUUAUAUAAACACGAAUCUGUUUUUGGCCUGAUAUAACAGCUGGGUAGAUCUAGUAAUUAAAUGAAUGAUUCAGAUCCAGGCGAGUAUGUUUACUUAAUUGAAUUUUUGGCUCAGACAUCAUAAUCAAAAGUGAAACAAAGGAAAAAUUUCCUGGGUCAUGUGUCUAGGCUUCAAGGACUAGGAGUCAGCAGCCCUACAAAAUAGGAAAAACAGAUUCUACUUACUUAGUGCUCUUCUUUCUCUUUAUCUUAGAAAUAUAUAUUUGAGGGAAAGGGAUGUACUAGAGUUUUAAAAUUGGAAGAAGCUAUUGGACUCCUUCAUUUCUACAGAUUUAAGUCCCAUAGUUAAUUAGUGUCCAGCCUGUUUUAUUAAUCAACAGGGGAUUGAGUGUGCUCUGCCCAUAAUUCCCACUUAUUGCUACUCAGAAAGACUUCCUAGAGUUCACAUCUUUUAUGCUAUGAGGCUGGCCAAGAAGAGCAAUUCUUAGUUUGCUAGGCCACAUAAGCUGAAAUCUUGCCAGUUUUUCCAGGCAACACAUAAUAGCUUGGUCACAUCAGGUGGAUUCUUGUGAAGAGAUGAUUAAUAGGUUGAGUUAAAAAACAAAACAAAGCAAAACAAAACUUAAAGCUAAUUCUUACCCUCCUUCAUGUCUCAUAAUAGCUGUUUCUUGUAUGACAGCUAGCUGUGUUUGGCUUUUCAGUUUUAAGGAAAUCAAGUUCUCUUUGUAUCAGGGAACAUCUAGUUGAACUGAGCCAACGUGGGACUGAUUUUAUCUUGUGGUCACCAACCAAAUUAAUAGCAUUUUCCAUUUGCUGAAUCUUUAGUAUGAAAUGUUAUACAAAACUGAGAAGCUCUAUAUUGACAUAGCUCAGUUAAUAUUUACUGAACAUCCUACACAAUGACAUCUCUGGACUUGGCAUCAAGAAAGUCUUCUAGAUAGUGUAGAUUAUUUUGAUUUCACCUGGCAUUCAAAUAUGCUGGUAGCCUAACUUCCUUCUUGGGGGCAAUGAUUAGGUUAAUACUAAUCACUCUCCAGAGAUAAACUCUUGCCCCAUGAAACAUUGAAACAUCGCCUGCACAAGAGUGAGGGCAGCUAUGUGUUGGGGGUGUCAUGGGAUUGGAAUGCAUAUUCAAGAAACUAUUAUUUUGUAAGUUCCCCUACCAUUGUGAGUAGUGUAGUGUUAACUUACAAAACCGUUUGCAUAUACUCUUCUGAGAUUUGGCCUUGCUUCUUUGGGGUUAGAUGGGAGUUUUCAAUCAGUUCAUAGACAUCUUCCAUGUUGUGGAGACCCUGCCUCAUCUCGUGGGUAACCUUUUGAACCUGAAUAUCAGUGCUGUUCUUUGGAGGAACCCUCUGCCCCCGGUAUGCCUGAGCCUGGCGUUUACAGAUGCCAAACUUGCUGAGUAGGAUGAACACAUCCCUCUGGAAGGCCUUGGUGAAAAUAGCAUAGAGGAAUGGAUUGGCACAGGAGUUAAGUGGAUAGAAGAGUACCAGCAAGAUUUUGGAGUUGCUAACAGUGAUGAGAGGCUUGUUCAGAAUUGCUGACAGAGCAUAGAAUGAGAUUGGGGCCAUGCAUAUGAAGUCGGUGAAGAUCAACACAGCCAUCCUCUUGGCAAUUUUGGUAUCUUUGUCCCCUGGGUUGUACUGCGGAUUUCGGACUGUGAUGUAGAUCUUCACAUAACAGCAGCAGACGAUGACGAAGGCAACUAUGUUGAGCGUCAGAACAAAAACAAUAUAUGCCAGAGCAAGAGGGGUCUCGGUGUCCAUGGGCAGGCAGAUACUGACUUUGGCAUAGCUACUUAUUCCCACCAAAGGAAGCAGGGCGAGAAGGAAGCAGCAAACCCAGCCCCCAACCAUGAUGGCACAUGCGUGCCUGAGGCGGAUCUUCCGGUCCAGGCGCAUGGCGAAGGUGAUGGCAUACCAGCGCUCCAGGGUGAUGACCGUCAGCGUAUACACCGAUAACUCGCUUGCAAAGACAGUGAAGAAACCAGCCGUGUUGCACCCAGGGCCUGUCUGCCAGUCGAUGGCAUGGUUGUAGUACUCAGAGUGAGUGUAGAGGUCUACAGAGGCGAUGAGGAGCAGGUACAUCCCCAUGCAGAAAUCCGCAAAGGCCAGGUUGCACAUGAGAAAGCGGGGGACGUUCAGUUUGUAGUGGCUGGUGAGGAGAAUAAGCAGGACAAAGACAUUGCCCAGGAGAGCCAGCAGACUAACGAACCACACCACAAUUCUCAGGAACUUGUAGCCCAUUAUGUCUUCACACGGGUUGAACUCAUCGGACUUGGGGGUACACACCAUGUCUUCACUGUCCCCACAUAUGGUGUAGUCAUAAUGGCUGUCAAAAGCUUGUAGAGUCUCUUCCUGGGGGUUUUUGAGCUCCUGGCCAAAACCAAUGAUCUCAUCCUCUUGUUCUUCAAAGAAGACGUAAUAAUGAGCGUUGUUAUGAGUAUCCUGGAACUUGGACUUUUCCUUGUACCCAACAAUGCUGUCACCCAGAUUCUCUUCAUAUUCCUGGUGGAGGGGGCUAUUCAAGGCAUUCACAGAUUUUCUCUGGCGCAAGCUCUGCAUACUGCUCUCAUUACACAUCAAGGACUCAAGGAUUCUGCAAGGCAACAGAAAAGAGUCAGUGCCAGGCUGGGCGCAGUGGCUCAUGACUGUAAUCCCAGCACUUUGGGAGGCCAAGGCAGGUGGAUUGCUUGAGCCUAGGAGUUUGAGACCAGCCUGGGCAACAUGGUGAAAUCCCAUCUCUAUAAAAAAUGCAAACAUUGGCUGGGCAUGGUGGUAUGUGCCUAUGGUCGUAGCUACUCGGGAGGCUGAGGUGGGAAAAUCACCUGAGCCUGGGGAGGUCAAAGCUGCAGUGAGGCGAGAUCAGGCCACUAUACUCUAGCCUGGAUGACAGAGUGAGACCCUGUCUCAAAAAAAAAAAAAAAAAAAAGAAUGCUUGUUUAAAACCCACGAAUGGUUCCCACAUUUAUGAAAAUGUGCAAACUACUUACUAUGAUGUACAUAAUUCUAUAAGGUUCUACAGGAUCCAGGCAGGCCUGUUUCUGUGACAUCAUUCCUAUGACCUCCCCUCCCCUACUGUGCUCCAGUGGCAUUGGUCUUAUUUCUCUUCUGCAACCACUUCAAGAACAGUGAUUAAAAAAAAAAAAGUGGCCAAGUGUGCUGGCUCACACCUGUAGUGACUCAAUCCCAGCACUUUGGGAGGCCAAGGCAGGCACAUCACUUGAGGUCAGGAGCUUGAACCAGCCUGGCCAACAUGGUGAAACCCCAUCUCUACUGAAAAUCCAAAAAUUAGCCAGGCGUAGUGGCACGUGCCUGUAAUUCCAGCUACUUGGGAGGCUGAGGCAGGAGAAUCGCUUAAACCUGGGAGGUGGAGGUUGCAGUGAGUCAAGAUUGCGCCACUGCAUUCCAGGCUGAGUGGCGACAGAGUGAGACUCUGUUUAAAAAAAAAAUGUGGAUGCUGGAGCCAGUCGCCUUGGUGGGAACCUGGCUCAAUUAUUGACUAGCUUGGGUAGGCCCAUGAAGUUUGGUUAACUCAUUUGUAACAUGGGACAAUGGGAGUGACUAUUUCAUAUAGGGUUAUUAAAGGAUUCAAUGAAUUUAUCUUUUUAAGGCUCUUACAAUAGCACCUGCAGCUUUGUGAGUGCCAUAUGGUGGUUAUUGUUAUUAUUAUUCCUAUUCAAAGCUCUAAAACCCUAUGUUCCCAUUGCCUGAAAAACCCAUGGCUGCCUCUACUCAUCAUUAUUUAGUUUCAAACUGAAUAUUUUAAAAAUAAAACAUUUAUGUAUUUUUAGUAGAUACAGGGUUUCACCAUGUUGGCCAGGCUGGGCUUGAACUCUUGACCUCAAGUGAUCCGCCCACCUCUGCCUCCCAAAGUGCUAGGAUUACAGAAGUGAGCCACUGCCCCCGGCCAGCCUGUUUAUUUUCUGACUUCCUCCAUUAGACAGUAAGCAAAAUACAAGAGGGAAUUCUUGUCUGUUCUAUUUACAACAGCCAGGCACAUAGAAGGUGCUCAGUAAAUAUCUGUUUAACAAAUGAACAAAUGGACACUACCAUACAGGCAUGCUUGUGGAAAUAAGAUUUAGUUUUUUCCUUGCUCACCAGACUCACAACAAAAGGGAUUCUUUAACUUGCCUCAGCUGCUGAGCAGAGUUUGAGUGAUCUCUUGGGUUCUGCUUAAAAUGUCCAAUGGACUUGCUCUUCUCAACUGGAGGCUAGGGAAAAAUCUAGACCCUGCCCCUGAGGUCCACUUAAGCCUCCCACCCAGCCCUUGUCCAGUCCUUCUCAAUGCCGCAUGGCAUCAGUGUAGAGUCCACUAUCACCAUCCUCUACCCCACUCCUGGCUUUUUGCAGCUAUGAUGCCCAUAUUGGCCUUCUUUGUGUGUGUGUGUGCAUGUGCCUGUGUGUGAUGGAAUCUCAGAAUCUUGCUUUGUUGCCCAGGCUGGAGUGCACUGGCACGAUCUCGGCUCACUGCAACCUCCGCCUACCGGGUUCAAGCAAUUCUUCUGCCUCAGCCUCUCCAGUAGCUGGGAUUACAGGAACCCACCACCACAUCUGGCUAAUUUUGUUUUUUGUAUUUUUAGUACAGACGGGGUUUCACCAUGUUGGCCUGGCCGGUCUCGAACUCCUGACCUCAGAUGAUCUGGCCAUCUCAGCCUCCCAAAGUGCUGGGAUUACAGGCGUGAGCCACUGUGCCCGGCCACCAUAUUGGCCUUCUUUGUAUGGCUGUUUUAGCUUCUGCCCUCACACCUAGAUCUGAUAUUUUCCUGACUGCAAUUAUGUGUGUAGUAAGUCAAUCACUAAAUACAUAGAAGCUGAGGAGGACUGAAUAGAGAUGAUGAAGGUGGAUUAGGAGAACAGGAGAUUGUACAAGACACAAUGGGGGAAAUAAUGCAGAGUAAAAGCAAAAAAGUAAAAGAAUCAGAGAAAGCCUGGAGAGAAAAUGAAGGCAAUUCCUCCUUCGCAGGCUCAUAAGCAGCCUGAUGUGCACAUACUGUAUAUCAUAGUUAAUAUUAAUGAAGAUCUUAUAAUAUUCCAGGCCAUUCCAUUCCAGUGUUUUCCAUUCAGUUUCUCAUUUAAUCUUCUCAAAACUGCUAUGAAUGUUAGUAUUAGGAUCUCCAUUCCCAAAGACUCAGAGUGGUUAAGUAACUAGGCUGGGAUAACACAGCUUGAAAAAUGGCAGAGCUGCGGUAUAAACCCAGCUGACUCCAAAGCCUGCAGGCAUGUAACCAGGGAGCUAUGACAUUUGCAAGGCCCAAACCAAUCAGGUAACCCAACUGUUUGUGUUGUUUAUAAGUCUGUUCUCAUGGUUGUGGUGUCUGGGGUCUAAUAUGUGUUGCAGUAUCUAAUUCUGAAUUGUACCUGGAAACCGGACAUCAUAUCUACAUAACCUCUACAAGAUUCUAUGAGAUCUGGUUGUGUUUCUCUCUCCUGUGCCAUCUGUCACCUCCUCUGCUCUACCGCUAUCCAGCAGCAAUUGCCUUAUUUCUCAGCUGCACCCACUUUGGGUCCGCAGGGUCACUGUGUCCCAUGGAUUUCCUGUUUCAUAUGGAUGCUUCCAAUUUCCUCUCCACCUGGUUUUCAAACCAGGAAGCAUCUUCCCCAAAACCAAGAAAUGAAUUCCACUUCCACCAAGGUCUUUUGUCACUUAUGCCGGGUCCCUGCCACUUACCCUCUGAUUUUCUUCUGAUUCUUAAAAGCACAGCAGUGGCUUGGGUAAGAAAGGUCAGCCCGUGUGAGGUGAAGGAAACUCAAGGAAAGUGGAAGUUUCUUAAGAGUCCAGGUGUUUCUUGCUAUCAGUUCCUUCAGGUGCUCCAGGCCUUUGGAUGGAAGGGCAGUGACACUGGUUUGAGACACGUCCCUGGGAGGCAGAGAACAGAAAAAUGCAGAGAGGCAGUGAGCAGCCAGGGCCUUCUCAGCCUUGGCCAGAAACUCAAACAGGCCUGAGGUUAAUUGGGAGAUGAUAUGCUCCUUUCUUCUACUGAGUACAUAAGCUGAGCUUCUGGUCUAAGGAGGGAUGGAUAUUAGGCUUCUAAGCCUGUGUUAUAGGAACUCCUUGGAAUUCCAGUAUCCAGUAGUACAAAUGCUAUUUCCACAGUCAUUUUAUUCUAUCCAUCACAAUACAUGCAAACUCUUGGAAUCAGAGAGAGAUGUCAAUUUUACUCUGCAACAUGCCACCAUGUGACUAUGAAAGGGUCUCAAGAGGCAAGAGAAAUGAAGUAGAACAGAGACGAAGGGGACUACUUUGCUAUCAGCUGCUGUGGGGACUAGAGUUUGGGGACUGAUAAACUGCUCACUGAUAUGAAUCAACAUCAGUAUCAUGAAAAUCUGAUAAUGAUGCAGACCUCAGAGUCAUAACCAGUUACAUUGGGAAUUCAUGACUGACAACAUUUCCCCCCAUCCCCCGCCACUCCAGUGUCUUUAGAAGACUGUAAAUUGAUUCUUGGAAAGAAAACUCAAGUGUUGAUAUUAACAAUGUGAAAUCAGAUUCAAAUCACUUCUGAGAACAAUGGGGUGAGGGGGGUGGUGGUCAGGCUGGGAACAUGUAGACAUCAGUGUUAGUUACUAAAAUAGAAUGAAUUCGUGGCAUUAGUGUGGCAUUCUCUGCUCUUUUCUGAAUCCCAGAGAGUCCAGGUUCCAUGUCUUGCUCCAUCAUUUUUAUUGGCACCAUUAAUAGCUUGAAUAAGGCCAUGAAUAUUUAACCUAAUAUCCCUCCUAUUUUAUAUUUUGUCAAUUAAAAUAUUCCUCAUAGAAGAUAAUUCCAUUUAAAAUAUUUAAUAUAAUUAAUAGUAUCCAAUUAGCUAGUGAAUUCCAUUAUUUUCCAUUUCCUCCCCCCACAUCGUUGUAAUUGGACUUAGCUGGGGUUUACAUUCUCAAGGUUCAAGGCCGUCAGAACUUAAAGCUCAUGUAUUAACCCCAUUCUCACCACAGGACUGUUACUCUUGUGAGGAAAGGGUUGGUGCAGUUGCUAUUUUGUUUUGUAUUUAAUUAAAAAAAUAUAUAAUCUAGCAUUUUCCAAACUGGUCUGCUGGUAAGAAUUACCCUUGGUGCUGCUGGGUGCGGUAGCUCACGCCUGUAAUCCCAGCACUUUGGUAGGCUGAGGCGGGCGGAUCACGAGGUCAGGAGUUCAAGACCAGCAUGGCCAACAUAGUGAAACCCCAUCUCUACUAAAAACACAAAAAUUAGCCGGGUAUGGUGGCACGUGCCUGUAGUCCCAGCUACUCAGGAGGCUGAGGCGGGAGAAUCACUUCAACCUGGGAGGCGGAAGUUGCAGUGAGCUGAGACCACGCCAUUGUACUCCAGCCUGGGUGACAAAGUGAGACUCUGUCUCAAAAAAAAAAAAAAAAAAAAAUUACCCUUGGCGCUUGUUCCUGUAUUAUUCCCAGGUGAUUUUUAACAUUAGACAUUUAUAAACUGGCAUAAAUAAACACCUUUGCGGUUAGUGAGAGAGUGGAGGGACUUUUGAGCCAGACUUAAGCACAGUUGUGAAGAAAAUGAAUCUGGGUUUGCUCUCUGGCCUCAUCCGUCCUUUUUGAGGCAUGUCUUUCUCUUUUAGCCAUGCUGUCUUCAAGGUGUGGCCAUCUUUCAAUUCCAGCUUUCUGGAAGCAUCUUAGGUUGCCUUUCCCAGUGAUGCUUUCACGUCAGUGAAACGGGAGAGCAUCUCAUGGCUCAUUUCCCUGCUUUGUUGUCUGCUAGAUACACUGAUUGUGUGUGUUCAUCUGAAAGAGUUCAUCCAAGUAAUGUGUUUGCAUUUUAAUACAUAUUUCUUGAGAAAACAUGUUAGUAAUUAUUUCAGUUACUGCGUGACAAAACACCCCAAAACUAAGUGGCAUAAAGCAACAAUCUUUUUAUUAUGAGCAUAGGUUUUAUGGAUCAUUAAUUUGAACAGGGAAUGGUGGGGAUAGGUUGUCUCUGUUCUGUGAUGUCUGGGGCGUCAGCUGGGAAGAUCUGGAGUCUGGGAUGACUCAAUGCCUGGGGGUUGGGAUUAUCUGCAAUUUCCUUCACUGGCAUGUCUGGUGCCAGGGCUGAGGUGACUCAAAGACUGAGCUCAGCUGGGACUGUUGCUGUGGCUACUCCAUGUGGCUUGACCUUCCCACAUUAUGUCAGCCAGAUUCUAAGAGAACUAUCAAAUUCAAGGGCAGAGGACAUACAGUCCACCUCUUAAUGGGAAGAGUGUCAAAGAAUUCGGUGCCUUCUUUUAAAACUGCCCUAAUGUUCUAAGUGAUGGAGACAGCAUUGAGGCAGAUAAUUUGGGGAAAAACUGGCAGUUUAUCACUCUGCAAAUCAGCAUUUCUAGUCCAGGGAUCACUCUGGACCAGCAUCAGAAUCACCUGUAAUACAGAUUGAGACACAUUCCAGACCAAAUGAAUUAUAAUCUCUGUUUGUGGAGGCUGGGAAUCUGCAUUAUUUAAGAUGCUCUCCAGGUGAUUCAGAAGCUGGUUUCAAUUCUCAAAGCAUUUUUAUGAAGCGGGCAGAUACUAAAAUUCAGACAAAGAAAUAAGGGAUGUUGUGUCCAAAAAGAUACAGUGAACCAAGGGUGGAGUCAUAAGUAUCAUUUGGGUCUGGAGUUCUCAGCUUCAGUGUCCCAGGAGCUAGUCUUCACUUUCAGGUCUUUGGAGUCUUUGAACACAGAUCCAGGUGCAGUAAGUCUCCAUGGACUCAUUAGGAAUCUGGGAGGGAAGAUUCCAAAGUUUGUCUGAGUAUAUGUAAUGACAUAUCCCAGGUGGCCUCUAAGUUAGGUCCCACUCGGGCUGAACUGGGAGGGUGCUUGGGCAGGCAAGGAGAAAGUAGAUGUUGGGAAAUGUGGGUGCUUGGCAUAUGGUAGGUGCUCAAUAAUUGUUAAUUUCCUCCUUGUCCCAAUUUGAAGUUUAUCUGAGCUGAAGCCAAAAGCAAUGAAGUUGGCAAAUACAGCUCCAGUCCAGACCUCAACUUGUAUAUCCAACUGCUUAUUUGAUAUCUCCACCUGGAUGCCUCACAGGCGUCUCCAACUUAAUAGGGCCUUUCAAAACUUAUCUUUUCAUCCUUUGCCCUUAGCUCAACCUGCUCCUCCUCUAUUUCCCCCCAACAUGGUAAUUGACACUCUCAUCCACUUGAUUGCUCAAAUUAGUAACCUUGAGGAAUGUUGGAUUUCCUCAAGACCAUUGUCCCAUCCACAUUUAAUCUUGCAAAACACCUAUGAUUCUGAACUCCAAAGGAAUCUCAAAUCCACGUAUUUGCAUCUCCAGUGUAAGCUUUCUAGUCCAAGCUAACAUUAUCUCUUACUGAAAUAUCUUUCCUGUCCACUUUUAUUCUUUUUCAAUCCAUUCCUCACAUAGUAGCCAGAGUAAUCAUAACAUAUGAAUUGAGUAAUGUCACUUUCCUGCCUAAAGGCCUACAGUGACUUCUCAACGUACCAUGAAUAACAUCCACGCUUCCUACCAUGCCCUUUAAGGUCUUGCAGAUCUAGCACUGGACUACCUCUGUAGUCUCAUCUCAGAGCUCUAAGGCCACUUACAGACAAAAUUAGAAUCUAUUAUACUUGAAGACAUCUUAAUCCUCACUUGUCAUCGUUCUAAGUAUCCAUUAGGCAUGCUGCACCUUAAGUGUUCCUGUGCAGUCCACCCACACUAUCUCUGCACUUUCAGGGUCAAGCAGGGGGAACAACUGCCUUUUUUCUUUUUUGAUUUAACCACCCUUGCAGUGAUCUGCAGUUUUAAUCAGACAGUCUGGUUGCUAUCAGACAGAAAGGUAGGAGCUCCUCUGUACUUCUCUAUGGAUCUAGCACUGCCUCUCCACUCAAAAUAUCUCAAAUAGAAUGAUUCUUGCCUUGAAGCUUACUGGAAUGUCUUUAUUUCUUGUCUUCCAUCUACCACUUUCCAGGGCUUGAAGCUUCGAUGUCCUUGUGGAGUCUCUCUUGCCCUUGCCCUACGUUCAUGCCGUGAAUAUUUACAACAACAUGAAAUUGUGCUAAGAACCCCCCACCCCAAUCAGAUGUGAGCCCAGCUGUUGCACAUCUACAAUUUCAUGGUUCUCAUUGCUACCACCUUAGUUUAGGUCUGAACUACAUUUCACCUGAGUUUUGCAAAAACUUUGUGACUGGUCUCAGAAAUCUUCCACUAUUCUGAUUUUAGGAACUUAGGAAAGAAUGUUUUUUCUAAAGGACAUUAGGAAAGACUUAGGAAAGAAUGUCCUUUCUAAAACACAGAUCUUAUAUUGCUUUCCAGCUUGAAAUCCAUGCCUCCUUUAAUAUCUACAGAAUGAAGUUCAAGCUUCUUAGGAGACUAUUUCCCCUCUCCCCAGUGGGAGUCUCUUUCUGAAUCUUGUGUCAUCUUUUUUCUUGAUUUUCUCUCCUAGAGCACAUUUUCAAGUAAUUUCUUAGGCUGUGUGAAGGAGAUAUUUUCUGAGUCUUUGCAUGUCUGAAAAUGACCUUAUUUUUUUCUACCCUUAUAUUCAAUUGGUACUUUAGCUGGCUAUAAAAUUUAAGGUUGCAAAUCGCCUUUCUUCAGAAUUUUAAAGGCUUUAUCAUAUUCUAGCACCCAUUGAUGCUUUUGGUAAGUAUGACCCCAUUCAAAUUCUUAUUCUUUGGUCAUUGACUUGUUAUUACUUCUGGAAGCUUCUCAGACCUUCUCUUUAUCCCUGGUGUGACAUUUCAUGAAGGUGUACCUUGAUAGGAAUCUUUUUCCAUUUAUUAUAAUGGGCACUGGGGGAAGACAGGCCCCUUCAAUCUGAAGACCUUUGUUCUUCACUGCUAGGAAAUUUUCUUGUAUUGUUUAUGGGAUAACUUAUUCUCAUUUUAUCUGUUUUGUCUCUGGAAUUCUUAAUAAGAGGAAAAGGCACCUCCUGGUCCAUCAGACAUAUCUCCAUUUUUUCUUGGAAUUUUCUCCUAUUACUUUUAUUAAAUUGCCUGGUAAAAUUCCUUGAGUGCAUCUUCCAUCUCUUCUACUAAAUUUUUAAUUUUAGCUUCAUGAGAGCUGAAAUACUGCCUGUUCUGUUUAUUGCCGUAUUUUUGGUACCUAGACUGGUGUUUAGCCAACAGAAGACUCUAAACACAUACUUGUUAAAUACCUGAAUAGAUUUUUUAAGAGCACUUUCUUGUGUUCUGUUCCUUUUAAAAACAGCGUAUUUGGUUGGGUGCGGUGGCUCACAUCUGUAAUCGCAGCACUUUGGGAGGCUGAGGCGGGUGGAUCACCUGAGGUUGGGAGUUUGAGACCAGCCUGACCAACAUGGAGAAACCAGUAUCUACUAAAAAUUCAAAAUUAGCCGGGCAUGGUGGCACAUGCCUGUAAUCCUAGCUACUCGGGAGGCUGAGGCAGGAGAAAAUCGCUUGAACCCGGGAAGUGGAGGUCGUGGUGAGCCGAGAUUGCACCAUUGCACUCCAGCCUGGGCAACAAGAGCGAAACUCCUUCUAAAAAUAAAAAAUAAAAAAGAAUAAAAAAUAAAAUGAAAUAAAACCAGCAUAUUUGAGAAAGCAUACCCCUUUGUUUAGGAACAUGGGUUUUAAAUUCACACUAUCUGGACUUAAACCCUGGCUUCUGUGCUUACUAUCAGUCACUGAAACUUUGUGUGCUGCAGUUUCCUUGUCUUGAGUUUGUUGAACAGUAGCUCUUAGUGUGUUCUCAAUAAAUAUUAGCUAUUAUUUUUAUUAUUAUUAUCAUGAUUGUUAUAGUGAUAGGGAUGAAAUGUGUUCUCAGAUUUAUCUCAGGUCCUUAAUUAUUGCUUUGUUAAAGGUUCCUUUCUCUUUUCUGUGAUUUCUUUGAUUUCUCCAGGCUCAUUUCCCCGCCAUUUGUGUAUCUUGGUUUUGAUCUUCCAUGUUAGGAGCAUUCUUUGACUGGAGAUCUCUGGUUGCACACAUUCGUAUUUAAGAGGGUGCUUUUCUGUUGGCAGACUUUGCUUUAGGGUAAUUGUUUAGGGAGCUGGCCAUUAUGUUGGUAGACCCUAAAGUGCCAGAAUGUGAAUGUCUUUUUUGUUUUAGGAUUUCUCAACCUCUUCAGCUUAGUGGGGAGGUACUUGGCUGUUGGAAUUUUGCAUAAAUAGAGUACAGGAUUAAUGCUUCCAGAUAUAAACUUUCAGUUAACCCUUCUGUUUUCAGUCCCAUGUCUUACUCUUACCACAUGCCAUACCCAUCACCUCUAAGUCCUAUUCCUCCCAGAGAUUUUACAGAGCAAGGCAGCAGUCUCUGACUACGCUCCCUCUGAGUACUGUGAGUUUUGCCUUCCUUCUUUUCUAUUUUUCUUCAUUCUGAAUUCUGUAGCUCUUCAGACCAUGGAUGGGCUCUCACCUGUCUUCUGUGAAUGUAUGCAUAGUAAAAAUUCUUGUGGAUGUAUAAAUAGGAAAAACUCCUUUCUCAUCUUUUUAAGGGGAUCUCAGGAGGGAGAGAAAAUAAAAUCUUAGGUGUAAUGCUUCAUCUUUAACUUUUAAUCACUACUGUAUUUAGCACACAGAACUGUGCAAGAGCUUGGAACAAAUACUUGUUGAGUACUGAGCCACAUUUGAUAGUCUCCCAAUUCUGGAGUUGUCGGAGAAUAAAUCUCAGUCUGAAGAGAUCCUCAAACUCAACAAGUCAGGAAUCAUUUUAAGUUAUUUGAGGCUGUAUUUUUUCCCACUCACCCAAAGUUUUAUUUGGUUACUUCAAAUCCAGGAUUUUUAAAUAGUGUGUACCUUCUUUCCUAAAAUAAACCUGUCAACAUGUAGUAUUUUUUUUUUUUUCUGAGUAAGAAGAAUAUAAAGAGUUGUUAUGGGUGAUGAAGGGGUCUGAAAUCACUUGUGGAUGUAGCCAUAUGGAUAGAAAGCUACAAGCUGGAGGGCUUCCCUCUGUUUUGUUGACUCUGGCACUCUCUUCAAAGAGCUCAUCAAGCAAUGGGCAUUGAACUCCAUGAGAAUUUGUCUCUAGCAAGUAUUUACUCGCAAAUCAGAAUGCAGCUGAGCUGAGUCUGGCAGAUGGUUUGAAGUCUAAUUGCCUAGGUCGUGGGAAUAAUCUCGAGUUAAGUGUCUAAUGAAAGUAACAGGACCUGAAUUUGGAGAGAGUGAGUCCUGCAGUAUUAUAUACAGAGAAGAAUAUCAUGAGAUUUUAAUGAUGCCAGGAAAAAAAAGAGCUAACUACGUUUAAUGUCAUAGGAAGAGCAAAUUGAACCUCAAAAGCAAUUAUGCCCUCUAGUAUCCCCAAACAUUGGAACUAUUUUUAUUUUUUGAGAGAUAUUUUGUCAUUGAUUAUUAUUUAAGAUUAAUUUAUGAUAAAUUCAAUUGCAAAUUAAAGAAGCACUAAUUGGCUUGCCAGUGUUCCAACAGCAAUUGCAAGUGUCUUUUCUGUUUGCUUGUCAUGAAAGUAGGUUUUCCCAAAGGUCAAUAUGUGGAAGCUGCUCCAUUAUAAAUGCGCAGUUACAUCUGUAAAUUGGUAAAUGAAAUGCAUCUAAGAGCAGAAAGAUUAAUUUACUGUUUAAAAUACAAUGUAAUUAAUUUAUUAAUAUUGAAUUGAAAAAUAAGUUAAAGGUUUAAAAGGUAUAAAUUCAAGACAGUGAGCUUGUCUAUUAAUAUGUUUAAAUAAUUUAGAAAUGCAAUAUGCAUUUAUUUAGCAAGUACAGAAUGUAUUGAUUGCUGUCUAUGUCUCAAGUAUAGUUCUAGAAGCUAGGGCUAUAAUAGUAAACUAAACAGGCAGAAAUUCCUGCUCUCCUCAUGCUUACAUUCUAGUGGAGAAAAAGGUAAUUUUUUCUUAAAAAAGUGAAGACAUACAGUAUGUUAGAUGAUAAUGAUAAGUACUAUGGGGAAAAGGGGAACAGGGAAGAGAAAAGGCAGAGACCAGGAGUGGGUCACAAUGAGAGAUGAGGGGACAGUGUCAGGGAAGGCCUCAUUGAGGAGAUAGUUGAGGAGGUGUCUGAAGGAGGUGAGGGAGACAGCCAAGCUGAUAUCUGGAGCAAAAGCAUUGCAGGCCAAAGGACCAGCAGUGUAAAGACUGUGAGGAGUGCACCUGGUAUAUUUGAGGAAGCAAGGAGGCCAGUGUUGCUGGUGCUGAGACGGUGAGGGCAUAGAACAUGUGGGAGAAGUCAGCGGACGUAUUGGGAGCCAGAUCAUGUGUGGCCUUGUAGGCUGUCGAAAGAACAUUACAUUUUCAUGGAAGUGAGAUCAAAAGGCUGCAGAGGAAUGGUAUAAUCUGACUUAUUUAAAAAGGAUCAUGCUGGCUGCUGCUUUGAAAGUUACCAAAGUGAGUAAGGCGUGGAAACAGGGAGAUCAAAAAUAGAAAGGAUGGUGCUUUGGACUAGGGUGGUAGCAGUGGAGAUACUGAAAAUGGUUGGAGUUUGUAGAUAUUUGAAAAGUAGAGCCAUUGGGACUUUCUGAUGGAUGGGAUAUGGGGUAUGUGAGAAAGAGAAGGGUUGAGAAUGACUCCAAGAUUUCUAGUCUGCAGCUGGGAGAAUGAAGUUGCCAUUUCCUGAGAUGGGGAAGGCUGCAGGUGAGGCAGGUUUGGAGGGAAUGAUCAGAAAUUCACUUUUGGGCAUGUCAAGUUUGAGAUGCCUAUUAGACAUCCAGAUGGUGACGGCAGUCAAGCAGUGUUUUUUUUUUUUUUUUUUUUUGGAGACGGAGUCUCGCUCUGUCGCCCAGGCCGGACUGCGGACUGCAGUGGCGCAAUCUCGGCUCACUGCAAGCUCCGCUUCCCGGGUUCACGCCAUUCUCCUGCCUCAGCCUCCCGAGUAGCUGGGACUACAGGCACCCGCCACCGCGCCCGGCUAAUUUUUUGUAUUUUUAGUAGAGACGGGGUUUCACCUUGUUAGCCAGGAUGGUCUCGAUCUCCUGACCUCAUGAUCCACCCGCCUCGGCCUCCCAAAGUGCUGGGAUUACAGGCGUGAGCCACCGCGCCCGGCCCAAGCAGUGUUUUAUAAGCGUGGAAUUUGGGAGAAUUGUCUGGACUGGAGAUUUCUAUUUGGGUAUCAUAGGCAUUAGGUAAAUCCAUACAAGUGGAUAAGAUCACCAAGGAAGUGAAUGAAGAUAUAGAUAAAAAGAAUAUCAAAGAUGGAGGCCUGGGGCACUCCAACAUUAAGAGAUCAGGAAGAAGAAGAAGAAGAGCUAGAAAAACAGAGUAGGAAGGAACAAUCAGAGGUAUGGAGAAAAACCAAGAGAGAGUAGUGAUUUGGAAGCCAAAAGAAGAAUACAUUCCAAGGAGGAUGGAGUCAGCAACUGAGUCAAAUGCCUCUGAAAUAAGUACUAAUUGGCCACUUGAUUUAGCAAUUGUGGAAGUCACUGUUGACCUGGUAAACGGAGUUUUAGUGGCAUGGUGGGAAGUGAAAACCUGAUUGGAGUGAGCAUAACAGAAAUUGGGAUAGUUGCUGCAAAAAGACACAGAUAAAUAGGGCAGUAGGUGGAAGUAGAUUUGAAGGAAGGGAUAUUUUAAAAUUAUAAAUAUUUCAAUAUUUUCUAAGAAUUAAGGAAUCUUUUAAAAAUAAAUAACAUCUAAAACAAUAACUCUUUAAGGCCGUGUAAUAUUCAAUCAUCAGUUUUCCAAGAAAGGCAAGGUAGUUCUUACCUUGUUUAAGUCAGAUCCAAAUAGACCCAGACAUGGCAUUCAACUGAUGUCUUUUAGGUGUCUUUUAAUCCAUAUUCACGAAACAUUGUUUUAAGAUGGAAGAAACUACAGCAUGUUUAUACACUGAUGGGAAAUAACUUAGUAGGGAGGGGAAUACAGAUGAUUAGGGAAGAAGGGAGAGGAUUGCUGAAGCAAUGUCCUUGAGUUUUUGAGAGGCGAUGGGAUCUAGGGCCCCGGUGAAGGGGCCAGCCUUAAAAAGUGACUUAAAAUACGGAAGAGAGGAGAAAGGAUGUGGGCAUAGACACAGGAAGAUGGGUAGAUGUGGUAGUGGGACAUGAGGAGUUCUCUUUGGAUUGAUUUUAUGCUCAGUGAAAUGGAAAUCAAGGUGAUCAAGUGGACAUGAGAAUGAGGGAGAGGACUAGAGAACUGAAGAGAGGGGAGGCCAUAGGACAUGGUCAUCCAACAGACUGGGAGAGGGAAUGGGGAAGUGGGAUGUGAUUGCUGUGCAGCAGGUAGAGCCUGCUUGGGGUGAAUGAUUUAAGGUGAAAUCACUUGCUAUGUUCAGCUGCAAAAGCCCAGGCCUGCAGCAGGUGGGUGGUUAGACCUAACCAAGGUUGGGCUUGGCCAGAAGAGGCUGAUGAGACAGAGAGGCAAGGUAGUUAGUUGGCUGCGUAUACAAGUCAGUGUUUAUAAUGACAGAACAUGGCAUUUAAGCUGCAUAAGGAAAGAGUGAGGAUAUGAGGGAGGUGAGAGACAGUGAAAUGUUAGUAACAGACUGUAGAUCCUGGCAGAACCAAAAAAUUGAAGGAUUAAUGUAUUCUAAGGAAAGAGAUAGAAAGAGAGCAGGAUGUUUAAGAUUAAGGUUAUGGAGGCUUUGUAGUCAUUGGUCAUGACAGGUCUAGUGAAGCCUGGAAGUACAAUGAAGGGCAGGCUUAUUGGGGGAGUGGAGCUCGGAGGUCAAGGUAUAGGAAAGAUAAUCCAUGUGGAUAUUGAAAUAACCAAAGUUAGGACAGGAGCAGUGUUGGAGGAAAAAAAUAUUAUAUAUAGGGUUAGGGAGUAUCCUCUGUUUCAGUCAUCCCCUGUGGGUCUCGGAGCAUAUCCUCCAUGAGUAAAGGGGGUACCACUGUAGGCAAAUGUCUAGAAUGUCAGAUGGUAAUAAGCAUCAUGGGGAAAAAUAAAACAGGGAAGUGGGAUGAAGAGUGGUGGGCAGUUUGCAAACUUAAAUAGGGCAUUCAGGGAAGAUCUCAAUGAGAAACUUACCCUUAAGCAAAGACUUGUAUCAGACGAAGGAGACAGCUAUGGAUAUCUGGGGAGAGGGCUCUCUGGCAGAGAAAACAACUAGUGCCCAACCCCUAAGGUGGGAACAUGCCAUGUGUCCUAUUCAGUGUGGCUGGGGUAGAACCAUGAGGAGGAAAGAAAUAGGAGGUAGGAUGAGAGAAUACGUGGCAUGGGUGGGAGACAAACAGCACAGGUCUUUGAAGGCUAUUUGUGAGGACUUUGUCUCUUUAAAAAUGAAGAUGGUAAAGCACCACUGGAGGCUUUUAAGCAGAAAUUUAAGAAGAUGAUCAAGUAAAGUUGCAGAAUUACAACAGGUGCAAGAAUAAUCUUACAUAAAAGGGGUUGACCUGAUGUACCAGGAAGAGAUCGUGUUUUGGAGUUAGUUAAUACUGAAUUUCUAUCCUAGUAUUUCCCUUAUGGCCAGGUGACCUCGGGGGACUUACCUGAUAUCUCUGCACCAGUUUCCUUAUUUGUUAAAUAGGAAUAAGAAUACUUUCUAUUGAAUAGUUAGGCCCAAAGUGAUAGACUAUCUGUAAAGAACCCAGCACAAAGCUAAUGCUCAAAAAUGACUUAUUAUUAACAAGAAAAUUCGUGUCUGACUAUUCAGAAAAUUGAUCAGAAAUUAUGAAUCUUUUCUUAAAGUCUAUGUGUACAAAUAAAAUUGCUUUAUAACUCAGAUAUUACUACAAUCAUUUCUUAUAAGCCUAUACUUUCCAUGAUCUAUGAAAUCUUUCAGCGUUUACUAUUGCAACAUAAUGGAUUCUGCAAUGGAAAAUUGCCGUAUCCUGUAAGUUGGUGAGUCAGCAUUCUACCACACAGUGACAAAAGGAAACCAGGGCAAUUUUUAGUCCAUUUUCACACUGCUGAUAAAGACAUACCAGAGACUGGGUAAUUUAUAAAGAAAAAGGUUUAAUGGACUCACAGUUCCACGUGGCUGGGGAACACAGUUGCCCAAUGUGGACUCACAGUUCCACGUUGCCUCCCACCUCACAAUCAUGGUGGACGGCAAAAGGCAAAAGGCACGUCUUACAUGGCGGCAGGCAAGAGAGGGAAUGAGAGCCAAGUGAAAGGGGGAACCCCUUAUAAAACGAUCAGAUUUUGUGAGACUUAUUCACUACCAUGAGAACAGUAUAGAAGAACCACCUCCAUGAUUCAAUUAUCUCCCACUGGGUCCCUCCCACAACAUGUGGGAAUUGUGGGAGCAAAAAUUCAAGAUGAGAUUUGGGUGGGGACACAGCCAAACCGUAUCAACUGCCAAUAGUCUGAAGCUGAAACACAAGCAUAGCCUCCUCCUCAAUGUUGAAUCCCCUCCCUUCUCAACCUCACAACCCCUACACACACCCAAAAUGAUCAUCAUCAUACUGGCAAAAGGGUCAGGCUCAAUGCUGCUUGUGGGAGAUAAAAGGUCCACUUUUUUUUAAGUGUUUAUUUCUUUUAGACUCAGAGGCAGAAUGUAAUUAACAAAAUAGAUUUCCAUGUCCUGGCAGAGAUAGUGUGUCAGAUGACAAUGCUUGAUUAUUUCCUCCCACCUGAUCUAGGAGUAAACUCCCAGAAAAGUGAAAACAUUUAGUACCCAUCCACAUUUACUUGGGAAGAACUGUGUGCCUAAUUCUACAUGCUAAAAACUGCUUUUUGUGUUUCUGUUAUUUAUUCAAAAAUUUAAUCCAAGGUUGAUUUAUACCUGUCAUUAUUUAGCCUGUUGCCAGCAUCCUCCAAUUAAUUGUAAAAUCACAAGUAAAACCUGCUACAGAACAUAGUAUACAUGGCUUUUGCCUUUACUAUUUGGUCCUAUGCAGUCUUGUUUCUCUUCUUUCAUUAUACAGAUAAUUGAGACUUGAAAUGGGCAAAAUCACCCAAAAUUGAGAAGAGUGUGUGGAGAAGUCAGAAUCUUUUGGGGUUGGAAGGCUGAAAUCAAAUUUAUGUAAAAAUAGCACAGAGCCUAGCGGGCACUCACUAAAAGGUAGAGUUAUUUAUACAUAAAAUUGCAAAGAAGGAACAGUGAAGAAGUAAUUAUCGUCCUACUUGCUCAACAAAGAACAAACUUCAGAUUCUUUACUGUUACGAGCUCCUGGCUAAAGAGGGAUAAUUAGUUAAUAAAAUGGUUCAGAAUUUACAAGGUUUAGAACAUUUUGGCAGUGUUGUUUUCCUAGUAUUCAUUCUCAGCAAAAAUUCUUUUAUGUUCUACCAGUUUUUGUCAAGGUAAAAAGCCCUUACUUAAAUAAGUAACUUUAGCAAAACCAUGCUAAAGAAAUAUUUUAUGAAUUUGCAAAUUAUUUUUAGAGAAGAAAAGCUAUCUAGUUUACUUUUUGGCCUGGCAUAGAUAGGAAACAUUUACUCAGACUGAAUCCCCUAAUAUAAAAUGCAUGACCAUUUGAGGCCAUUGCUCUAGACAGUGGCUCCUGGUGUUUUGGAGAACUUUUAUUUAAAGUAAAAAUCUUUCGGGGAUGAUAGUAGUUGCACUGUUAGUCAGUUGAAGAGCUACAAAGGUUUGUAUGAUUUUGAGGAUCUUUGCACUAACUGCUUUAUCCCUCUCCCACCAGCAGGCAACCCACUAGUUGGGGACUGCUCUGCAAAUAAUUUCUCAAUAGUUAUGAAAGUAACCUUGCCAAUAUAGAUUGCUGUGAUUUAAUGUAUUAAUUCUUUUUUCUCAUAAUAGUGGCUGUGGUAGUAGGAGAUGCUACCAAUCAAUAAAUUAGGAUUUUGGGGGAAACCAAGUAUCCUGAGUUGUCAAUGUGACUCUUCUGUUCUGAAAAUUCCUAGGGCUGAAGCAGACCAUUCCCUGUUCUUGUCAAGAAGUCAGCAUGCACACCAUUCUGGAAAGAUCAUUGCCUACUCUCUCUCUCUUCAAAUUCUUUCAUGAUCUUCCUUGCAGACCCUUUGCUGUGCCUCUGGAGAUGUGAGCGUGUGACUUAGGAGGGAUGACCUACUUCAGUUGCUUCCCCAACAACUCGGCUCCUUUGGCAUGGGUCUGGCUUGGUGCCCAAGCUAGGUGUGCAAGACGGCAGUUUGUCUUGUGUUUGCAACUCAUUUCACAGUCGGUGAGCAGGGCAGCCUAGCAUGCAAGCCUCCCCUGGCUUUGCAUCUGCAGGAGGUUCCCUUCUCCAAGGGAGCUGCACCAAGAGCUUCACUUGGUAAGCACAGAAAGAAAGUCAAGGAGCUCCAGGCUGAUGAGGUAUUUGGGGCUCAAUUUCCCUCCCCUCAGAGGGAGAUCCAGUCCCUGUCAAAUUGCCAGGAGGUGCAGAUUAGCAGUCCCAGCUCAGUGGCUGUGACAGAGGUAUCAGCAAUAAUAUAGUCAGGGCUGAGGCGAGUUGAGGGCCACAAACUUUAAUCUGUUAUGCAACUAUUACUACUACUUCCACAGGGACCAUCUUUACCUGCUGCGUCAGAUUAGGUUGUCCAUAAUAUGAUUUCAACACAACAUCCCAACACUAUCCUUUUGCCUGAAUUAUGUAAUUUUUUUUCCUCUGAACACAUCCCAUGUUUUCCUAUAGACAUGCCUUUGUUUUCUCUCAUAACUCUAUCACUGUCUGUUGCAAUUCUGCUCCUCACCUGAAGCCCAUCUCAAAUACUAUCUCCUUUAAUAAAGCUUUUGCUGAUCACCCUAACUAGAAAUGGCAUGUUCAGUCUCUAAAUAUCUCCUAUGGCUUUUUACAUUAAACUUAUGUUACAGUUACUUAUUCACAUUUCUCCUAAAUUUGACUGUAACCUUUUUAAAGCAGAGGCUGUGUCUUAUCCUUAUAACUACUGGAGCUCAGUAGGUGCUUAGUAAAAUGGCUGUGGAAUAAGUGAGUAAAUGGACCAUUUGCACUAGGGUUGGCAGAGAGCUGGUGGCCAGGACCAAAAUUUUAUUUAGGUCAAAAAUUUUAUCCUGGAACACAAUUGAAUAAUAAAAAAACAAAAAUCCAAUGAAAAUGGGCAAAAAAUUUGAACAGAAACUGGGUAAAAGAAAAUAUACAAAUAGCUGACAAGUGCAUAAAAAGAUGCUCAACAUCAUUAAUAAUCAGGGAAACACAAAUUAAAACCACAAUGAGAGACCCAUUAGAAUGGCUAGAAUAAAAAAAAAUGACAAUUAAAAGCAUUGGCCAGUAUAAAAUGCUCAUACCUUGCUGGUGAGAAUAGAAAAUGAGACAACCCUUUUGGAAAACAGUAUAGCAGUAUUUCCUAUAAAGUAUACAUAAAGACAUAUAUAUAGAGAUAUAAAUCUAUCCUAUUACCUGUUAAUUUUACUACUAAAUUUUUAUAUUAGAAAAAUAGCAUGUCUAUGGGAGGUGGGGUGAGGCAUGAGGGAACUUUCUGGAUAAUGAAAAUGUUCCAAGUCUUAAUCAGGCUAGAGUAAUAUAGUUUUGUCGAAUUGCAUCAACCUGUACACUUAAAAAAUUGUGUACGUUAUUGUAUGCAAAUUAUAUUUAAAAUAUAUGUUUGCUCAGGAUCAUCCUAGAAAAUCGUGUAUUCACCUGUGUCUUUCAGGCAUGCCGGUAAGGACUCUGCCACAAAUUUUCAGCCACCUAAUAGUAUUAUCUUGUGAAGAUCAUGAAGAGUUUAAAAAAAAAAGAAAAAAAAGAAACCAAAGAAAUAUGACAGUGCCAUGACCCUUGUAUUAAUUUGAUCAGCUAAAAACAAGAAAAGUGUGUUUUUGAAGUUUAUUUAUGCUGAUACCUGUAAUGAAAACUCAAGGAUAUUAUUACAGAGAUUUCCUCUUCUUAGGAGGUACUUACUCAACAAUAUGCUAAAUGCUAUAUUAAAGUGGGUUACAUAAUUUAGAAUUUAGAGAACUCUGAUUAUUAUGAAAGGCAUUGCAUUUCAGUGUGUUCUUUCCUCUGAGAUUUAAAACACCAAGCACUUCUCUUUCAAAAUAAGAUAAAAAGAAAACAAGGUAAUCAAAAAUGGAAAGUAUAAAAAUGGAAAAUGAGAUUGCAUAUCUUGAUUAAAAAUCAAUCAAUAAAAAACCUUAUUAUACUUCCAAACUAAAUUUAUAAGUCUUUUUGAAAAACAGCAAAUAUUGGAUAAUAGAUCCUCUGACUCUAGAUAUUGCACCUGCUUUAAAUUAGAUUAUCUUUUGAGAAGUGACCUUGAAAAACAAUGAUUAAGUGGGUAAGUUUGACUUUUUAGACUAUUAGACGUGACUGUAUUCUCCCUCAAAAACCUUUAUAAGGCAGAAAUAUAUAUGGCAUCUGAUUCUCUUUUCUUUAGAUGGAGUUUACGAUUUUUGAAGUUUGGCUUUGACAACAAAUGACAAUGAAAUCAUGGCUAUUUGAUAUUUAGUUACAAUUCAUCCAAUAUUUAUUGAGCACUUUCUGUCUUCUGUUUUGAUACAGGAAGGUUAUAAAAAGUAUAAGACACCACUUAUUUCCUCUGGGAUCUUAAAAUCUAAUUAUGGAAAGAAGCUAUGUGGGAAAAAAUAAUGGAGAUUUUGACAAAAGAUCAAGACAAGAAUUAAAGAGACAUCACAUGUCUAUGUAUGAUUAGUUAACAAAUUCAUUUUCAGACAACAACUAUGCUUGGAAGUUCAGGAAUGAGACUGGACUCUUCUUUGUUCAUUUCUUACUUUUCUCCUAUUGACCUCUCACAUGCUGACAUCUCCAUUGUCUUCUCUUCCUAUGCUUUGUGGCUUUGUUAUUAAAUUAAGUGUUAAUUUUUUUUUUUUUCUUAGACGGAGUCUUGCUCUGUCUCCCAGGCUACAGUACAAUGGUGCAAUCUCGGCUCACUGCAACCUCUGCUUCCCAGGUUCAAGCGAUUCUCGUGCCUCAACCUCCCGAGUAGCUGGGAUUACAGGCGCCUGCCACCGCGCCUAGCUAAUUUUUGUAUUUUUCAGUAGAGACGGCGUUUCACCAUGUAGGCCAGGCUGGUCUUGAACUCCUGACCUCAAGUGAUCCACACCGCCUCAGCCUCCCAAAGUGCUGGGAUUACAGGCCUGAGCCACCACGCCCAGCCUAAUUUUUAUUAAAAUAAUGCAUGGACCUAUUUUUAAAAAGCAAAUUAUACUGGAAGCUUGUUAAUACAAGAGGCAGCCCUUCCCUGCAGUCUGGUGUCUGAUGUCCCAGAAGUAACCCCUUUUAACUUCUGGUAUUUCCUUCCAUAAGUGUAAGUAUUUCUUGAUGUAUUGUUUUUAGGUUUUAUCCGCUAACUCUCUACUAUAGAAGAUGAGGAUUUGGCUUUCUUUUAUCAUCCCUCACCCCUACACAUUUCCUCUCCUGACACACUCUUCUACUCUCCUGAAAUAGUUUUGUGACAUAUUUGGUUAAACCCAUAUUCAGUACUGUGGUUAUUGCAACUUUGCAUAUUGCGCUUUCAUUUCCUUUGUCAUGUAACUGUUUGUUUUUUUUUUCAUAAGAUGUCCAUCUGUCUCUCUCUUUUUAUUUGGGUGUCUUUGUUUGAACAAACCUCUUGCUAAGUUUUCUACAUGCUCCAAUGUUCUUUAAAACACCUCUCAAGGCCAGGAGCGGUGGCUCACACCUAUAAUCCCAGAACUUUGGUAGGCCUAGGCAGGUGGAUCGCCUGAGGUCAAGAGUUCGAGACCAGCCUGGCCAACAUGGUGAAACCCCAUCUCUACUAAAAAUACAAAAAUUAGCCAGGUAUGGUGUUGGCACCUGUAAUCCCAGCUACUUGGGAGGCUGAGGCAGGAGAAUUGCUUGAACCCGGGAGGUGGAGAUUGCAGUGAGCUGAGAUCGCACCAUUGCACUCCAGCCUGGGUGACAGAGCAAGACUUCGUCUCA
Molecule: long non-coding RNA, 32226 nt
Filed under: Homo sapiens (human)
Lineage: Eukaryota; Metazoa; Chordata; Mammalia; Primates; Hominidae
Description: HSALNT0378211
Source: RNAcentral